RNAcentral lists this ribosomal RNA (380 nucleotides) under uncultured eukaryote. Its description in RNAcentral is "partial 18S ribosomal RNA". It matches the Rfam family "Eukaryotic small subunit ribosomal RNA", at positions 592 to 976 of the family's 1831-position model. The record is from RNAcentral.
CAAUAGCGUAUAUUAAAGUUGUUGCAGUUAAAAAGCUCGUAGUUGGAUUUGUGGCGUACGGUGUGUUCCGGGCACUUGUUGUCUGAGUAACCUGCUGUUGCCAUCCUUGGGUGGAACCUGUGUGGCAUUAGGUUGUCGUGCAGGGGAUGCCCAUCAUUUACUGUGAAAAAAUUAGAGUGUUCAAAGCAGGCUUAUGCCGUUGAAUAUAUUAGCAUGGAAUAAUGAGAUAGGACUUUUUUGCUAUUUUGUUGGUUUGCGCAAGAAGGUAAUGAUUAAUAGGGACAGUUGGGGGUAUUCGUAUACCAUUGUCAGAGGUGAAAUUCUUGGAUUUUUGGAAGACGAACUACUGCGAAAGCAUUUACCAAGGAUGUUUUCAUUAA